Molecule: non-coding RNA, 136 nt
Filed under: Cellulomonas sp.
Lineage: Bacteria; Bacillati; Actinomycetota; Actinomycetes; Micrococcales; Cellulomonadaceae
Description: FMN sequence
Rfam family: FMN riboswitch aptamer (RFN element)
About the family: The RFN element is a highly conserved domain that is found frequently in the 5'-untranslated regions of prokaryotic mRNAs that encode for flavin mononucleotide (FMN) biosynthesis and transport proteins. This element is a metabolite-dependent riboswitch that directly binds FMN in the absence of proteins.
Source: RNAcentral
ACACGUGCUCCGGGGUCGGUGCAAUUCCGAGCCGGCGGUGACAGUCCGCGACCCGCGAGGUCCUCUCGAGGACCGGACGGUUGACCUGGUGGAACUCCGGGACCGACGGUGAAAGUCCGGAUGGGAGGAGACGUGG